GGCGCAGGCGGCUUGCUAAGUCCCGUGUGAAAGCCCGCGGCUCAACCGCGGAAAUGCACUGGAUACUGGCGAGCUUGAGACGGGUAGAGGCGAGUGGAAUUCCCGGUGUAGCGGUGGAAUGCGUAGAUAUCGGGAAGAACACCAGUGGCGAAGGCGACUCGCUGGGCCCGUUCUGACGCUCAGGCCCGAAAGCGUGGGGAGCAAACA
This 207-nucleotide ribosomal RNA is filed under the name uncultured bacterium. Its description in RNAcentral is "partial 16S ribosomal RNA". It matches the Rfam family "Bacterial small subunit ribosomal RNA", at positions 568 to 774 of the family's 1533-position model. The record is from RNAcentral.